CCUUCUCUGGUCCUUCUCUCCACCCCCCAGUGCCGGGGUCCCCCGGGAGCUGGGCGGACGGAAAGCAGGUGCCACACCGAUCACGGCGUAAUUAAGGGAUUAAUCCACCUCCUUCUACCCUCCCACCCCUGCCCCGACGGCCACUCGCAGGACGGGAGACUGGAGGCGCAGAACGCGAGUUGGAGUCCCCGCCCAGCCGGUUCUGGACGCGGCGGGAGGGUUUCCCUCCUUUCUAAAGCCCCCUCGAUGCGGGGUGAACUCUGUCGGACCCUCCCGUUCAAUCGGACUUCAGAACAGGAACCCCUUCUCUCUUUUCCGACCCUUAGAGAAACUGAGGCAAAAGUCAAGCACGCUCCUCCAGCUCUCGAAGGCCCGAGGACCCGGGAUGGGGUGGCGCGUCCUGACCCGGAACUUCUACUCCAGAUGCCUAGUCUAGGAGUUCUAGCAGGAGACUCAGGAAUAAAAUUGGAGAGGAGAAGCCCGGGAAAGCCCCUGCAACUCGCGUUUAUUUGCAUACCCCCCCCCCCCACCACGCAUUUAUUUGCAUCCUUUUUGCAUUACUCGGCACGGACAUGUUUUAUUAAAUUGUUUUUACAUUUUUAAGGAGUCUGAAGGGAAACCAGAGAGUGCAGGACAAAGACAAAGAGAGCAAUCUUAUUUCUGUAAAUGCAAGUGCAGGGGAGGGGAUGGCGUGAUGCAAAAUUCGUGCAAAUCUGUUUCAAACCAGCAAAAGAAAAGAAAGAAAGAAAGAGAAAAGAAGGAAAGAAAAGAAAAGAAAAGAAAAAGGAAACCACCUCACGCUUCCCCAACUCCAGCAGGCCUUACUUUUCUGGGACUCUUUCUACUUGAAGAUCUCCCACUCCUGCUCUGCAAACACACACACACUUUCUAGGCUGGCGAUGAGUUGGGGUAACAGUGGAAUAGAGCCCUAGCCGGGUCAAGGAUCCCUGGCCUUGCUGAUGGUUGAGUGGCAGGGUGCUGGCUCAGCCGUGGCAACCUUCCCAGGGUAGGUGGCUUCUCACUGAGGGUGGUGGACUGGGGAACAAACAGGUCGAGAUCCCGAGGAGUGGAUGCUGCAAAGUCGUGCAGACCCGGGAGUAAGCAGAGCCAAGAGCUGGAGUAUUUCAGGCACAGAAAGCGCUGGAGUGAACCAGAGAUGUCGAGGAGGGGAAGGCUUGUCCCAAGACCCCUCCCUCAACUCACACCCCUCCCGGCGAGGCCUUGACCUUCGGGACGUUUAGAUGCCUUCCUACCCCUUCAGCUUCGGCUUGUGCUUGGAAGGCCGGAAGUCUUCAGCGGCCGCGCCCUGGGAGCUGUUCUUUUCGCCUCGUCUACCCCCCGCUGGCCUAGGAGCCUGCGGCGCGUCACCGACGACCUAAAUCCCGAGCAGACCCUGAGACCGGGUGGGAGGGGGCUAACGACGCAUUCUUUCUAAAAUACCAGGAUACUGGGCCUCUGUCCCUCGCUCCAGGGCCAGGCUGCACGCCAGAGGGAUAGUAAAGGUUUAUUUCCCCACCCGAAAUCCACCCCUCCGGAGGUAAGCGUCAGUCCUACAUCUGCCAAUUACGAGACGUCCCGCUCUGAACCUCGGUUUACCCAUCCGACAGUAAGGAAAUUAACUCUUUGAUCUUCUCUGAUCCUCCAAAUUCCCGGUCCUGGGGCUCGCUGCCCGACCCGCUGUUGACCGGGAUCACCGGGCUGGCAUCACUCCAGACGCCCGAGCAGGAGAGAGACUGGGCGUCUUGGCACCCAGCCCUGCUCAGGGGCGAAGAAGGCUGCAGCACGCAGGAAACCGGCCCCACCACGUGCAUCCUGCCCCUUCUUAAUCCCCUGAUUUGCUCCCGGUCGGCCUCUCGGCAAACACAGAGCCAGCCUGCGUCUAGGGGCUUGUCACCCUGUUAGCGGAUUUGUUCCCAGAGACGGCGCAGUUAAUUGGCCCUUUAUGUGGGGAUCAGGGUGUAUUUGCUCAGGGUUCCCUGAGCGCAGGCGGCGGCUCAGCCCCCAGGCAGCGCUGCUUCCUAACCCCACCAUGCCCGUGUGGAGGCUGGACAAACAGGGCACUGCCCGCUUAUGCCCCCUCUCCUCCCGCAGAGUCUCCUGUCCGUCUUGCACACCUUGCUCCUUCUCAGCAUUCUGUUUUUCCUCUCCUAGCUCCUUCUUCACCUUGUUUCUCUCUACUCUUCCUUUCUAUUUCUCUUCUAUCUCCAGAAUAACCUCCCUUUGUUUUCUUCCCUGUCCUACAUGAAGCUCUUUAUCCUAUUCCAGUCCUAUUUUUUUAAAAAGAAAACAUUAUUUCAACUUCAAAAAAUAAAAUAAAAUACCAAAGUCAGCUUAACAAAUUAGGGAAGUAUUACUUUAAAAAUUUCUGUCCAGGCACAUUUAAUCCUAGAAACAAACCCAAUCAUUUCUCCCGUGUUCAGAAAGAUAAAGAAAUGCAUGCAGACUGGAUUAAUGACAUGACCAAGCUCUCCUGGUUAAUGAAGAAAAUGAAGGGGGAAAAAAGUUUGAUCAUAUUCGUAUCUCAUAAAACUAAAUCCCAU
This 2540-nucleotide long non-coding RNA is filed under the name Dasypus novemcinctus (nine-banded armadillo). RNAcentral describes it as "lncRNA (ENSDNOG00000050615.1)". Lineage: Eukaryota; Metazoa; Chordata; Mammalia; Cingulata; Dasypodidae. The record is from RNAcentral.